This 507-nucleotide ribosomal RNA is filed under the name uncultured Campylobacterota bacterium. RNAcentral describes it as "bacterial SSU rRNA". It matches the Rfam family "Bacterial small subunit ribosomal RNA", at positions 8 to 541 of the family's 1533-position model. Lineage: Bacteria; Pseudomonadati; Campylobacterota. The record is from RNAcentral.
AGAGUUUGAUCCUGGCUCAGAGUGAACGCUGGCGGUAUGCUUAACACAUGCAAGUCGAACGAGAACGGUUCUUUCUUAGGAAAGAGUGUCAGCUAAGUGGCGAACGGGUGAGUAACACGUAGCUACCUGCCUUACAGACCGGGAUAACAGUUGGAAACGACUGCUAAUACCGGAUAUACCCUAAGGGGGAAAGAUUUAUCGCUGUGAGAUGGGGCUGCGGCGUAUCAGGUAGUUGGUGAGGUAAAGGCUCACCAAGCCGAUGACGCGUAACUGGUCUGAGAGGAUGGUCAGUCACACUGGAACUGAGACACGGUCCAGACUCCUACGGGAGGCAGCAGUGGGGAAUAUUGCACAAUGGGGGAAACCCUGAUGCAGCAAUACCGCGUGGAGGAAGAAGGAUUUCGGUCUGUAAACUCCUUUUAUAUCUGAAGAUAAUGACGGUAGGAUAUGAAUAAGCACCGGCUAACUCCGUGCCAGCAGCCGCGGUAAUACGGAGGGUGCAAACGU